This 313-nucleotide ribosomal RNA is filed under the name Globigerinita uvula. RNAcentral's name for it is "bacterial SSU rRNA". The record is from RNAcentral. Lineage: Eukaryota; Foraminifera; Rotaliida; Globigerinitidae.
GUGACUCUUCGGAGUUUGCAUUGUUAAAUAUGCUAGUCCUUUCAUGAUUAUGUGAUAGGUGGUGCAUGGCCGUUCUUAGUUCGUGGAGUGAUCUGUCUGCUUAAUUGCGUUUCAAAUUACUUAUAAGGUAGCAAUACGCGAUGAAGCUUUCAAUAGUCCUCACGGAUUCACUUGAGUCUCUCGCUUCGCUAUCCUUUCGAAUGCAACGAACGUGACCGCAACCUCUUGUUGCCUUCGUUUAACAUCCUGCAGCUCGCUGUGGGUACUGAGGGCUUCACUCGGUGACUUUGGGCUGAGCAAUCGGUCUUUGACU